GGCCCAGUGGCGUAAUUGAAAGCGCGUCGGUCUACGAAACCGGAGGUUGCAGGUUUGAGCCCUGCCUGGGUCA
Ditylenchus destructor is the source of this 73-nucleotide non-coding RNA. Lineage: Eukaryota; Metazoa; Nematoda; Chromadorea; Rhabditida; Anguinidae. The record is from the annotation of a GenBank genome assembly.